GAUGAAGGAACGCAGCGAAAUGCGAUAAGUAAUGUGAAUUGCAGAAUUCAGUGAAUCAUCGAGUCUUUGAACGCACAUUGCGCCCCCUGGUAUUCCGGGGGGCAUGCCUGUCCGAGCGUCAUUGCUGCCCUCAAGCACGGCUUGUGUGUUGGGCCGUCGUCCCCCUCCUAGGGGACGGGCCCGAAAGGCAGCGGCGGCACCGCGUCCGGUCCUCGAGCGUAUGGGGCUUCGUCACCCGCUCCGUAGGCCCGGCCGGCGCUUGCCGACGACCAUCAAUCUCUUUCUCCAGGUUGACCUCGGAUCAGGUAGGGAUACCCGCUGAACUUAAGCAUAUCAAUAAGCGGAGGA
RNAcentral lists this unclassified non-coding RNA (348 nucleotides) under soil metagenome. Its description in RNAcentral is "partial contains 5.8S ribosomal RNA, internal transcribed spacer 2, and large subunit ribosomal RNA". The stretch from base 1 to 121 matches the Rfam family "5.8S ribosomal RNA", at positions 35 to 154 of the family's 154-position model. The record is from RNAcentral.